GGGAAAACAAUUUACAUAAUUUCAAGCGAUUUUCCGCAGCUCUUUCCUGAUUUCCCAGUCUUUUUUGGCAGCGUUUAUGAUUUUCAAUGGGGGCCACAUUGAAUGACGUUUGAUGCGGUGGGCAACGUUUUGUUUAAAUCUCGACUGUCGAUUGUGACUAUCAUGAAAGUGGGCGUAUCCUUUAGCCACGUGACCGCACGCGUUGUGUUGAAUUUAACACGGAACGUAGUCCUUCCCAUCCGGAGACUUGGGUGCAAUGCAAAUGGGGUGCGCCAAUAGACCCGCACAGCCCGUCAGCCAGCCAAAUAUUUUUUAAACAUUUUUUUUUUUUCGCUGGCGAAGGACAACGACGGAGGACGCGUGCAGCCAAUAAGUCCUUCAUCACUUCCGCUUCAGUUCAGUUCCGUGAUUUUGCACAAAUAAUGUUUUGAUUGCGUGGCAGCGUGACGUGUAAUUAUUAUCGCCGCACACAAUCGCCAUCGCCAUCGCCAACAACAAAGGCUAAGCCCUCGAUUCCGGGGGCUCUUUGGUAGGAGAAGGAUGCCCAAGUGCGGCAAAGCAAUUAAAAUGAUUUGCCAGAUGAAAACCAGCCAACAGAAGAUUCUCCGAACUGGUAGUGUAACAAAGAGGGCUGAAGUCAUUCGGUUUUCCAAAUAAAUCUAAUAUCAUUUUGGCAAAGCACUUAGUGAUCUUGUGCACACCCAAAAACUCAAAGAUGUCUUUAAUUACAAAGGAUGCCCGAAGUGAAAAAAGAAUCUGAAGACAAUUUUUUAAGGACACUCACUCGACUGCCGCAAAUCACAAAUUAAAAAUGGCUGACAAAAAAUUAUGCAAAUUUCGCUGGCGCCCAAUCCUUUACAGGACAGCGAGAAAAUUUCAUUAAAAACAGCAGCAGCGCAAGAAAUCUUUUGAUAAAAAUUAAAAACUUUGCGCUGUUGGACAAUUGACAAGGCGGAAAAAAGCAAAAAUAAAAUGAAACAAGAAACGAAAAUAAAACAUCAAAAAAUUCUGAAAUGAUGGAACAAGGAAUUAAAACAAGCAAUCAUAAAAUAUUAUGACAGCGUGGAAAUUGGGAUAGAAAGCCUCUUAAGGUCCAGCCAAGUGGAGUGCGACUUGCCGGCUGCUUUGCAUAAUUAUAUUCAUUGAAAACUUAUUUUCUUCAAGUUUUCCGCAGCAGGAAAAUAUUAAAAAAAAAAUACGUGGAAAAGAGGAAAAAUCCCAGAGCUGAAUUGAGUUACAUCACAAGAAGAUGGCGAGAAGAGAAACAGUUUUUGACAUUUAAUUGCUGAAGAACUGCAGCUUGGCGAUGGGUCGCUGUAUAAUGGAGGUGGAGCAACUGAGUAUCGGAGAAGAGCUGCCCAAAUGUCCACCUCGCCACUUGGCGAAACUCGUUUCAAUGGACAGCAUCCUGAAGAUGCUGAAACUUGUGCUGCCGCAGAAUAAGAGGACCGAAAGCUGAGGAGCUCGUCCCAGAGAGAAGAAAAAAUGUAACAUGAUUUAAUGACAUGAAUUAUUUAUGAGUUUCCUGUCAAUCAAAAACCACGUCAAAGCAUUUUGAUGGCGAUGUCAACGCGCCAGUGAGCAAAACACACGAUGCUGCCUCGCCACAAGCAUAAAAAAUAAAAUACAAAAAUAAAGAAAAUCAAAAAAA
Drosophila simulans is the source of this 1651-nucleotide long non-coding RNA. RefSeq lists it as uncharacterized. NCBI's taxonomy places the organism in Eukaryota, Metazoa, Arthropoda, Insecta, Diptera, Drosophilidae. The transcript has 3 exons. The record is from RefSeq and is a predicted model, not a curated record.